GCCAGACUCCUACGGGAGGCAGCAGUCGGGGAUAUUGCACAAUCAGCGAAAGCUGGAUGCAGCGACGCCGCGUGGGCGAUGAAGGCCUUCGGGUUGUAAAGCCCUUUUCUGGGGGAAGAGACAAGGACGGUACCCCAGGAAUAAGUCCCGGCUAACUACGUGCCAGCAGCCGCGGUAAAACGUAGGGGACGAGCGUUAUCCGGAUUUACUGGGCGUAAAGAGCGUUGAGGCGGUUUCGUAAGUUGGACGUGAAAGCCCCGGGCUCAACUCGGGGAGGUCGUUCAAUACUGCGAGACUUGAGGGCAGCAGAGGGAGGUGGAAUUCCCGGUGUAGCGGUGAAAUGCGUAGAGAUCGGGAGGAACACCAGUGGCGAAGGCGGCCUCCUGGGCUGCUCCUGACGCUGAAGGCGAAAGCUAGGGUAGCAAACGGGAUUAGAGACCCCGGUAGUCCUAGCCGUAAACGAUGGAUGCUGGGUGUGGGGGGUAUAGACUCCCUCCGUGCCGAAGCUAACGCGUUAAGCAUCCCGCCUGGGGAGUACGGCCGCAAGGCUAAAACUCAAACGAAUUGACGGGUCCCCGCACAAGCAGCGGAGCGUGUGGUUUAAUUCGAUGCUACACGAAGAACCUUACCUGGGUUUGACAUGUGGGUAGUAGUGAAGCGAAAGCGGAACGACCCUUCGGGGAGCCUACACAGGUGCUGCAUGGCUGUCGUCAGCUCGUGCCGUGAGGUGUCGGGUUAAGUCCCGUAACGAGCGCAACCCUUACCCUUAGUUAUAUGUGUCUAAGGGGACUGCCCGGGACAACUGGGAGGAAGGUGGGGAUGACGUCAAGUCAGCAUGGCCUUUAUGUCCAGGGCUACACACACGCUACAAUGGCCGGUACAAUGGGUCGCCAAGCCGUGAGGCGGAGCCAAUCCUCUAAAGCCGGUCUAAGUUCGGAUUGCAGGCUGCAACUCGCCUGCAUGAAGCUGGAGUUGCUAGUAACCGCGCGUCAGCAAUAGUGCGGUGAAUACGUUCCCGGGGAUUGUACACACCGCCCGUCACGUCAUAGAAGCUGGUAACACCUAAAGCCAGUGAGCUAACCUAACGGAAGCAGCUGUCAAAGGUGGGACUGGUAACUGGGACGAAGUCGUAACAAGGUAGCCGUAGCGGAAGCUGCGGCUG
Molecule: ribosomal RNA, 1162 nt
Filed under: metagenome
Description: bacterial SSU rRNA
Rfam family: Bacterial small subunit ribosomal RNA
Source: RNAcentral